AAUAAAUAAUAAUAGUAAUAUCCGAAUUAAUAACAGAUGGGAAUAUCAUCUGAUUUGAUUUUAUUCGAUAUUUUUUAGGUUUAGCCCACUGCACACCUACCUCUCUACCUAAGCUAUUUUGGAUUUGAAAACAUUAUCGAGUUUAGUCUUACGCACUGCAGUCUAAGUGCAAGACAACCGAUAACUACUCGCGAGUAACUGUUUUCACAGUGCUAUCGAUGCAAUGAGUUUACACCAAUGUAACUGUGAUUUGAGAAACUAAGACACAAUUAAUAUGGCGUAGGCCUAAGAACAAAGUUGGAAUUUAUUUUGUUCAAAACUUCAAACCACUGAAAUAACAGGUUAUAAUAUUAUAAUGAUUAUAUGAUUCCGUACCAAACCGGAAAACCUAAAUAAGUGCGCCAGCGGCUAUUGCAAUCGUAUCGAAAAAAAGAUCUCUUGAAACGAUUAAAUUAUUCCUCUUCCUUUUUGAGACCAUAUAAUAAUGUUUUGGGUGCGAGCUUAAUGAAUGAUGGUAAUAUUAUGAUGAAGACAAGAAACAGUCUAAAUUAGUCGAACGUAUACAAGAAAAAACCUAUGUACGCGUUAUCUUGAGCAUUUCUCAGUUGCGGGUGCAGUGCAGUGAUUAACCGACUAGACGGUCGGGAUUAUGUGUCCUGCAGGACGAAGGGCGCUCUGCCUCGCCUUACUUAUAUAGACUAUAGUAUUAUUUACAUGUAUAUUAUUUAUUUUAUUUACACUGUUGUUGUCGUCUA
Long non-coding RNA from Aphis gossypii (cotton aphid), 755 nucleotides. RefSeq lists it as uncharacterized. The transcript has 4 exons. The record is from RefSeq and is a predicted model, not a curated record. NCBI's taxonomy places the organism in Eukaryota, Metazoa, Arthropoda, Insecta, Hemiptera, Aphididae.